This 468-nucleotide ribosomal RNA is filed under the name uncultured bacterium. Its description in RNAcentral is "partial 16S ribosomal RNA". It matches the Rfam family "Bacterial small subunit ribosomal RNA", at positions 28 to 507 of the family's 1533-position model. The record is from RNAcentral.
GACGAACGCUGGCGGCGUGCUUAACACAUGCAAGUCGAACGGAAAGGCCCUGCUUUUGUGGGGUGCUCGAGUGGCGAACGGGUGAGUAACACGUGAGUAACCUGCCCUUGACUUUGGGAUAACUUCAGGAAACUGGGGCUAAUACCGGAUAGGAGCUCCUGCUGCAUGGUGGGGGUUGGAAAGUUUCGGCGGUUGGGGAUGGACUCGCGGCUUAUCAGCUUGUUGGUGGGGUAGUGGCUUACGAAGGCUUUGACGGGUAGCCGGCCUGAGAGGGUGGCCGGCCACAUUGGGACUGAGAUACGGCGCAGACUCCUACGGGAGGCAGCAGGGGGGAAUAUUGCACAAUGGGCGGAAGCCUGAUGCAGCAGCGCCGCGUGCGGGAUGACGGCCUUCGGGUUGUAAACCGCUUUCGCCUGUGACGAAGCGUGAGUGACGGUAAUGGGUAAAGAAGCACCGGCUAACUACGUG